AAACCAUGGCAAACUCCGAAUACCAGGACAGAAUGUACGGGAGACACACGGCGGGUGCUAACGUCCGUCGUGAAAAGGGAAACAACCCAGACCCGCAGCUAAGGUCCCAAAGUUAUAGCUAAGUGGAAAACGAUGUGGGAAGGCACAGACAGCCAGGAGGUUGGCUUAGAAGCAGCCAUCCUUUAAAGAAAGCGUAAUAGCUCACUGGUCGAGUCGGCCUGCGCGGAAGAUUUAACGGGGCUAAGCUAUACACCGAAGCUCGGGGUGCACACUUUGUGUGCGCGGUAGAGGAGCGUUCCGUAAGCCUGUGAAGGUGAGUUGAGAAGCUUGCUGGAGGUAUCGGAAGUGCGAAUGCUGACAUGAGUAACGAUAAUGCGGGUGAAAAGCCCGCACGCCGAAAGCCCAAGGUUUCCUCGCGCAACGUUCAUCGGCGCAGGGUGAGUCGGCCCCUAAGGCGAGGCAGAAAUGCGUAGUCGAUGGGAAGCUGGUUAAUAUUCCAGCACUUGUCUGUAGUGCGAUGUGGGGACGGAGAAAGUUAGGUCUACCAGGCGUUGGUUGUCCUGGGGAAAGGCGGUAGGCAUGCAUCUUAGGCAAAUCCGGGAUGCUUUAUGCCGAGCACCGAGACGAGUCCUUUUGGACGAAGUGACUGAUACUACGCUUCCAGGAAAAGCCACUAAGCUUCAGCUACAGAGAAACCGUACCGUAAACCGACACUGGUAGGCAGGGUGAGAAUCCCAAGGCGCUUGAGAGAACUCGGGUGAAGGAACUAGGCAAAAUGGCACCGUAACUUCGGGAGAAGGUGCGCCCU
RNAcentral lists this ribosomal RNA (808 nucleotides) under Dyella soli. Its description in RNAcentral is "Bacterial large subunit ribosomal RNA". It matches the Rfam family "Bacterial large subunit ribosomal RNA", at positions 941 to 1754 of the family's 2925-position model. The record is from Rfam by way of RNAcentral. Lineage: Bacteria; Pseudomonadati; Pseudomonadota; Gammaproteobacteria; Lysobacterales; Rhodanobacteraceae.